UACAGAGGGUGCAAGCGUUAUUCGGAUUUAUUGGGCGUAAAGCGCACGUAGGUGGUUUGAUAAGUUCGAUGUGAAAGCCCUGGGCUCAACUCAGGAAGUGCAUUGAAUACUGUUAGACUAGAGUACAGGAGAGGUGAGCGGAAUUCCAGGUGUAGAGGUGAAAUUCGUAGAUAUCUGGAGGAACAACAGAGGCGAAGGCGGCUCACUGGACUGUAACUGACACUGAGGUGCGAAAGCGUGGGGAGCAAACAGG
Molecule: ribosomal RNA, 253 nt
Filed under: uncultured bacterium
Lineage: Bacteria
Description: partial 16S ribosomal RNA
Rfam family: Bacterial small subunit ribosomal RNA
Source: RNAcentral